Molecule: long non-coding RNA, 635 nt
Organism: Carcharodon carcharias (great white shark)
Lineage: Eukaryota; Metazoa; Chordata; Chondrichthyes; Lamniformes; Lamnidae
Exons: 4
Source: RefSeq, a predicted model, not a curated record
CCUAACUGAUUAACUCCGUCCUCACUAGUGGAGCUACAAUCAAUUGAAACAGCCGUGCCCCACUCCUCCGCCCCUCCUGCUGAAGUCAACCAACUAAGCAGAGAAUGAGGAUCAAAUUUGGAAACUUCCAGCUCUUCUCAGAACAAGAUAAGGCUUCAUCGGUUCAAUAAUGAAGCUGAGGUGGAGAAAGGUUUCGGAAGCCUUGAAAAAUUGCACUUCCUUGGAGAGUUUGUGACCACUGGGGGAAGCCUGCUGAGGAGUCAGGAACAUUUUGAAAGCUGCCUGCGGAGACCUCCAUUUCGAAAUCCCCGAAUGUGUGCUGCAGGAGCUCCAAUCGUAACAACAUCAUAAAUGCCAUCUAAUCAGGAGUGAACACAAGAAUAACUUCAAUUUCUGACAUUGUUUCUCCUUUCAAUGCUUUCAUUUGCACAUUGUUGAACUUUCAGAUUGAAUGAGGCAAAAGUGGCCUUUGGUGGUGAUGCAGUUUGCCCAUUUUCCUUUUCUGUUGACUAUCACCUAUUUUGCACUACUAGCGAAGGCCAAUUUAAGCCACAGUAGGUCUGGAUGACCAUGCAUUUCAAACUGAAAUUCUGUUCCUUUCACCUACUAUCAUGAAUAAAGCUUCAGUCUUCUAA